UAGGGAAUCUUCCACAAUGGACGCAAGUCUGAUGGAGCAACGCCGCGUGAGUGAAGAAGGUCUUCGGAUCGUAAAGCUCUGUUGUUGGUGAAGAAGGAUAGAGGCAGUAACUGGUCUUUAUUUGACGGUAAUCAACCAGAAAGUCACGGCUAACUACGUGCCAGCAGCCGCGGUAAUACGUAGGUGGCAAGCGUUGUCCGGAUUUAUUGGGCGUAAAGCGAGCGCAGGCGGAAUGAUAAGUCUGAUGUGAAAGCCCACGGCUCAACCGUGGAACUGCAUCGGAAACUGUCAUUCUUGAGUGCAGAAGAGGAGAGUGGAACUCCAUGUGUAGCGGUGGAAUGCGUAGAUAUAUGGAAGAACACCAGUGGCGAAGGCGGCUCUCUGGUCUGCAACUGACGCUGAGGCUCGAAAAGCAUGGGUAGCGAACAGGAUUAGAUACCCUGGUAGUCCAUGCCGUAAACGAUGAGCGCUAGGUGUUGGGGACUUUCCGGUCCUCAGUGCCGCAGCAAACGCA
RNAcentral lists this ribosomal RNA (514 nucleotides) under uncultured bacterium. RNAcentral describes it as "partial 16S ribosomal RNA". It matches the Rfam family "Bacterial small subunit ribosomal RNA", at positions 355 to 859 of the family's 1533-position model. The record is from RNAcentral.